Small nuclear RNA from Urocitellus parryii (Arctic ground squirrel), 107 nucleotides. Lineage: Eukaryota; Metazoa; Chordata; Mammalia; Rodentia; Sciuridae. The record is from Ensembl.
GUGCUCGCUUUGCCAGCACAUAUACUAAAAUUGAAACAACACAGAGAAGAUUAACAUGGCCCCUGCACAAGAAUGACAUGCAAAUUAAUGAAGUGUUCCAUAUUAAA